RNAcentral lists this ribosomal RNA (479 nucleotides) under uncultured bacterium. Its description in RNAcentral is "bacterial SSU rRNA". It matches the Rfam family "Bacterial small subunit ribosomal RNA", at positions 36 to 518 of the family's 1533-position model. The record is from RNAcentral.
CUGGCGGCGUGCUUAACACAUGCAAGUCGAACGGUCGAUAGAGAUAAGCUGCUUAGCUCUAAAGAUAGUGGCGGACGGGUGAGUAACACGUGGAUAACCUGCCCUUUAGAUUGGGAUAACUUCGGGAAACUGGAGCUAAUACCGGAUAUAUUCCUAGGUUCGCAUGGACCAAGGAAGAAAGGCGAAAGCCGCUAAAGGAUGGGUCCGCGUCCCAUUAGCUAGUUGGUGGGGUAACAGCCUACCAAGGCGACGAUGGGUAGCCGGCCUGAGAGGGUGGCCGGCCACACUGGGACUGAGACACGGCCCAGACUCCUACGGGAGGCAGCAGUGGGGAAUCUUCCGCAAUGGGCGAAAGCCUGAACCGGAGCAACGCCGCGUGAGUGAUGAAGGCCCUUGGGUCGUAAAACUCUGUCUUCAGGGAAGAAAACAAUGACGGUACCUGAGGAGGAAGCCCCGGCUAACUACGUGCCAGCAGCCGC